AGGACGAACGCUGGCGGCGCGCUUAACACAUGCAAGUCGAGCGAGAACCUGGCCUUCGGGCCUGGGGAAAGCGGCGAACGGGUGAGUAACACGUGGGUAACCCACCCUUGGUACCGGGAUAGCCCGAGGAAACUCGGAUUAAUACCGGAUGGCCCAACAGCUCUUCGGGGCGGUUGGAAAAGGUAGCUUCGGCCUCCGACCAAGGACGGGCCCGCGGCGGAUUAGCUUGUUGGUGAGGUAACGGCUCACCAAGGCGACGAUCCGUAGCUGGUCUGAGAGGACGAUCAGCCACACUGGGACUGAGACACGGCCCAGACUCCUACGGGAGGCAGCAGUGGGGAAUCUUGCGCAAUGGGCGAAAGCCUGACGCAGCGACGCCGCGUGGGGAAGAAGGCUUUCGGGUUGUAAACCCCUUUCAGGAAGGACGAAGCCACUCGGGUGAAUAGCCCAGAGGGUGACGGUACUUCCAGAAGAAGCCCGGCUAACUACGUGCCAGCAGCCGC
RNAcentral lists this ribosomal RNA (503 nucleotides) under uncultured bacterium. RNAcentral's name for it is "SSU rRNA". It matches the Rfam family "Bacterial small subunit ribosomal RNA", at positions 26 to 518 of the family's 1533-position model. The record is from RNAcentral.